Molecule: ribosomal RNA, 591 nt
Filed under: Pichia manshurica
Lineage: Eukaryota; Fungi; Ascomycota; Pichiomycetes; Pichiales; Pichiaceae
Description: eukaryotic LSU rRNA
Rfam family: Eukaryotic large subunit ribosomal RNA
Source: RNAcentral
GCAUAUCAAUAAGCGGAGGAAAAGAAACCAACANGGAUUGCCCCAGUAGCGGCGAGUGAAGCGGCAAGAGCUCAGAUUUGAAAUCGUGUUUCGGCACGAGUUGUAGAGUGUAGGCGGGAGUCUCUGUGGAGCGCGGUGUCCAAGUCCCUUGGAACAGGGUGCUUGAGAGGGUGAGAGCCCCGUAGGGUGCUGCGCGAAGCUUUUGAGGCCCUGCUGACGAGUCGAGUUGUUUGGGAAUGCAGCUCCAAGCGGGUGGUAAAUUCCAUCUAAGGCUAAAUAUUGGCGAGAGACCGAUAGCGAACAAGUACUGUGAAGGAAAGAUGAAAAGCACUUUGAAAAGAGAGUGAAACAGCACGUGAAAUUGUUGAAAGGGAAGGGUAUUGGGCUCGACAUGGGGGGUGCGCACCGCUGUCUCUUGUAGGCGGCGCUCUGGGCGCCCUCUGGGCCAGCAUCGGUUCCUGCUGCGGGAGAAGGGGCUCCGGAAAGUGGCUCUUCGGAGUGUUAUAGCCGGGGCCAGAUGCCGCGUGUGGGGACCGAGAACUGCGGCUUCUGUCUCGGAUGCUGGCAUAACGGCGCAAUACCGCCCGUCUU